RNAcentral lists this ribosomal RNA (262 nucleotides) under uncultured bacterium. RNAcentral's name for it is "partial 16S ribosomal RNA". The record is from RNAcentral.
CUGCUGCCUUCCGUAGGAGUUUGGGCCGUGUCUCAGUCCCAAUGUGGCCGUUCACCCUCUCAGGCCGGCUACUGAUCGUCGCUUUGGUGGGCCGUUACCCCGCCAACUGGCUAAUCAGACGCGGAUCCAUCGUAUACCACCGGAGUUUUUCACACUGUUCCAUGCGGAACCGUGCGCUUAUGCGGUGUUAGCACCUAUUUCUAAGUGUUAUCCCCCUGUAUACGGCAGGUUAUCCACGCGUUACUCACCCGUCCGCCACUAA